Mesocricetus auratus (golden hamster) is the source of this 501-nucleotide long non-coding RNA. RefSeq lists it as uncharacterized. The record is from RefSeq and is a predicted model, not a curated record. The transcript has 2 exons. Lineage: Eukaryota; Metazoa; Chordata; Mammalia; Rodentia; Cricetidae.
AGCUGUUCCUUCGUCCAGCAGUCGUUUCUGUACAGGGCUGUGUGUGCUGGACGCUGAGACACGGUUGGUGCCAACCUGCUGCAGACUCUCAGCGCCGUGUGGGGAGCAGCGCUCAAACACACACGCUGACGGCUGUUUAGUGCCUGUCCUGUGAGUGCCGUGAGAGCAGAGGGAGCCUGAAACCGGACUGGGGAACACCAAACCUGGACAGACACAGCUGCAUCCCAGACGGAGAGAGAACCGAAAAUGUCAGUCAGCUCUCUUCAACUUCAUCUACAAACUUGCCAGCGUCAUAUUCAAAGCUACAACUCGUCCUUCCACAGGCCCCAGGAAGCUGUUCGUCAGUUCUUCCAGAAGCGCAAAGGAAUUAAGAAGAUGCAUUAACUAUUAGGAUCAAGACGAGAAAUCCCUCUACCUCCAUACUUCAUGUUAAUCAGUAAUGGCACCUGUUACUGUAGCAAAUGUCUGGGAUAAUUAAGUUAUAAAGAGAUGUUUACUUUG